GGGCCCGUAGCUCAGCGGUUAGAGCUGACCGCUCAUAACGGUUAGGUCGCAGGUUCGAAUCCUGCCGGGCUUACCA
RNAcentral lists this transfer RNA (76 nucleotides) under Roseovarius gahaiensis. RNAcentral's name for it is "tRNA-Ile". It matches the Rfam family "tRNA". Rfam says of the family: Transfer RNA (tRNA) molecules are approximately 80 nucleotides in length. Their secondary structure includes four short double-helical elements and three loops (D, anti-codon, and T loops). The record is from RNAcentral. Lineage: Bacteria; Pseudomonadati; Pseudomonadota; Alphaproteobacteria; Rhodobacterales; Roseobacteraceae.